This 303-nucleotide ribosomal RNA is filed under the name uncultured bacterium. RNAcentral's name for it is "partial 16S ribosomal RNA". It matches the Rfam family "Bacterial small subunit ribosomal RNA", at positions 507 to 807 of the family's 1533-position model. The record is from RNAcentral.
AGCAGUCGCCACGGUAAUACGUAGGGUGCAAGCGUUAAUCGGAAUUACUGGGCGUAAAGCGUGCGCAGGCGGUUAUAUAAGACAGAUGUGAAAUCCCCGGGCUCAACCUGGGAACUGCAUUUGUGACUGUAUAGCUAGAGUACGGCAGAGGGGGAUGGAAUUCCGCGUGUAGCAGUGAAAUGCGUAGAUAUGCGGAGGAACACCGAUGGCGAAGGCAAUCCCCUGGGCCUGUACUGACGCUCAUGCACGAAAGCGUGGGGAGCAAACAGGAUUAGAGACCCCUGUAGUCCCUGUCUCUUAUAC